This 1597-nucleotide ribosomal RNA is filed under the name metagenome. RNAcentral describes it as "bacterial LSU rRNA". It matches the Rfam family "Bacterial large subunit ribosomal RNA", at positions 1317 to 2925 of the family's 2925-position model. The record is from RNAcentral.
GUAGGUGAGAAUCCUACAGGCCGAAUAUCUAAGGUUUCCUCAGGAAGGCUCGUCCGCUGAGGGUUAGUCGGGACCUAAGCCGAGGCCGAAAGGCGUAGGCGAUGGACAAUCGGUUGAUAUUCCGAUACCACUACCAUCAUUAUUAUCGAGGGUGUGACGGAGAAGGAUAGUGUGUGCUAGCGAUUGGAAACGCUAGUCUAAGCGUUUAGGGAGUUACGGUUGGCAAAUUCGCUGUAACAAUUCUGAGGCGUGAUGGGGAAGGCCAUAUAGGCCGAAGUACAUGAUUCCAUGCUUCCAAGAAAAGCAUCUAGAGAGAGAAGUAGUGCCCGUACCGCAAACCGACACAGGUAGAUGAGGAGAGAAUCCUAAGGCCGGCGGAAGAAUUGCAGUUAAGGAACUAGGCAAAUUGACCCCGUAAGUUCGCGAGAAGGGGUGCCUGCGAGAGCAGGCCGCAGAGAAUAGGCCCAAGCAACUGUUUAGCAAAAACACAGGUCUCUGCUAAAGCGUAAGCUGAUGUAUAGGGGCUGACGCCUGCCCGGUGCUGGAAGGUUAAGGGGAACACUUAGCGCAAGCGAAGGUGUGAACUUAAGCCCCAGUAAACGGCGGCCGUAACAAUAACGGGCCUAAGGUAGCGAAAUUCCUUGUCAGGUAAGUUCUGACCCGCACGAAUGGCGUAAUGACUUGGGCGCUGUCUCAACUGCAAAUCCGGCGAAGUUGUAGUGCGAGUGAAGAUGCUCGCUACCCGCGAUUGGACGGAAAGACCCCGUAGAGCUUUACUGUAGCUUAGCAUUGAAUUCCGGUAUUGUCUGUACAGGAUAGGUGGGAGACUGGGAAACUAGGGCGUCAGCCUUAGUGGAGUCAACCUUGGGAUACCACCCUGACAGUACUGGGGUUCUAACAGGACGCCAUGAAUCUGGUGACUGGACAUUGUUAGGUGGGCAGUUUGACUGGGGCGGUCGCCUCCUAAAAAGUAACGGAGGCGCCCAAAGGUUCCCUCAGAACGGUCGGAAAUCGCUCGUAGAGUGCAAAGGCAGAAGGGAGCCUGACUGCGAGACAUACAAGUCGAGCAGGGACGAAAGUCGGGCUUAGUGAUCCGGUGGUACCUCGUGGGAGGGCCAUCGCUCAACGGAUAAAAGCUACCUCGGGGAUAACAGGCUGAUCUCCCCCAAGAGUCCACAUCGACGGGGAGGUUUGGCACCUCGAUGUCGGCUCGUCGCAUCCUGGGGCUGUAGUAGGUCCCAAGGGUUGGGCUGUUCGCCCAUUAAAGCGGCACGCGAGCUGGGUUCAGAACGUCGUGAGACAGUUCGGUCCCUAUCCGUCGCGGGCGUAGGAAAUUUGAGAGGAGCUGUCCUUAGUACGAGAGGACCGGGAUGGACUGACCUCUGGUGCACCAGUUGUUCCGCCAGGAGCAUGGCUGGGUAGCUAAGUCGGGAAGGGAUAAACGCUGAAAGCAUCUAAGCGUGAGGCCUCCCUCAAGAUGAGAUUUCCCAUAGCAUAAGCUAGUAAGACCCCUUGAAGAACACAAGGUUGAUAGGUCAGAGGUGUAAGUGCGGUAACGUAUUUAGCUGACUGAUACUAAUAGGUCGAGGGCUUGACC